Molecule: long non-coding RNA, 1200 nt
Organism: Bos indicus x Bos taurus (hybrid cattle)
Lineage: Eukaryota; Metazoa; Chordata; Mammalia; Artiodactyla; Bovidae
Source: Ensembl
AUGAAUAAAUACAAACGCAGAGGGGCGAGAGGCGCGCAGCGAGCUGAGAGCGGGGGGAGACAAGCGAGAAGAAAAGAAGGCGACGGAGUAGAGGGGCGAUCAAGGCAAACUCGCAGCCCCGCUGGAGGGAUCGGGAGGAAAAAAGGGAAGCGCAAGAUGGAGAGAAGCGUGCGUGUGUGUGUGCGGUGGCGGCGGCGGCGGGGGCGGGGGAAGGGGUGCCAAGCUGGGUCUCGGGCGGCGGCGGCGGGCCGGUCACCCGGGCAGAGGGCGGUGCGCGCCCGGCCGGGCGGCGGCACGCUGCGCAGUCACCGCGAGGGGCGCGCCGCGGCCGCGGGGAGACAUACACCGGCCCGCCGGGCCCGGCUCAGCGGCGGCGGCGCGGGCUGCGCACGGCUCCGCCGCCGCCCGGGGCCCUGGGCACCGCGCCCCGCUUCGCUCCAAGUUACUUUGGCAGCCUUUGGGGGGGCGGGGGGCGGCAAUUGCAGGAGGGGAGCUCCGUGCGGAUUGCGCGGGGGCGGAGGGGGGGCUUCGCGCCUUUGGUCCCAGGCAGUCGGAGGACCCCCCGUUUCCCCCGCCUCCUCGGUGCUUUCGAGCCGGGUGAGCCCUGGAAAUCUCGGAGGAGUCCCAGGCGCGGUGGGCGCGGGGCGGUACGCCGAGAAGGGCGGGAUCUGGAGUCACGGAGCGGCCAGCCCCGCCGGCGUCCUGGAGCUGGGGGAGCGGCCGCGGAGCUCUGGAGGAGACGUUUUGCUUCGCAAACCUCCAAGAAAAGUUUGGCUCCCCCGUGUCUUCGGGCGGGUCCCCCACCCCUCCUCCGGCGGAGUCCGUCUGCGGCGGCGGUGGGAGGCGACACCCGGCCGCGGGCUGAGUCCCGGGGACCCCUCGCGCGUGCCUUCUUCGGCCGGGAGCGGGUGCACCGGGGCGCGCGGAGAGCAGAGGUUACGCACCAGCCAGCCGGGCGGAGCUGGGAUGCCGAGACCCGCGGGGCUAUGCCAACCCAGCUGUGAGGCUCGGGGGCGGGAGGGCAAACGACCCCUCGCAGAUGAACCCCUCCAACUCCCGAACGGGCCGAUGUCAAGUCUCCGAUCGCCUUCCGGGAGCCAGACCGAGCCCCCCAGCUGCGGGGCCGAGAGCGCUGGGGGGAGCUCUCAGAAGUGUCCCUGCGACUCCGACCGGUUCCACCCCAAGCCCGGCAACUUGUAG